CUGGGAUCAGUGGAGCCCAUGUAGUGCAUCUGGCUCACUCAUGUGUUUGCAGCCAAUGACUUAACUUAACCAUAUGACUGUCAGCAGAGGCAGAAGCACUGACAAAGUCCCAUGCGGUGCAUCUUCAUACAGACUAAAUUGGGCUCCAUCACCUUCUCAUGGUCUCAGAAUUUCCCAAAGCAGCAAGAAAGGGCGAGUUCUAGUAAGUGUCUAUGAAAAGAUAGAAUCAACUUUCAAGUAAAUGAAGCAUAUAGAGCCCCAAGUAGCCAUGUCCAGGAAAGAACUUCUCCAUGAGACAUCACAGUUAAAAUUUCAGAAUUUCAGCACAAGUGUGAAAUACUAAAUAUUAUCAGAGAAAAACAUCAAGUAACUUAUAAGGGUAAGUAUUAUAAUAACAGCAGAUAACACAAAUGGAGAAUUUGGCUUGCUAUUGGGAGGUA
Molecule: long non-coding RNA, 440 nt
Filed under: Chinchilla lanigera (long-tailed chinchilla)
Lineage: Eukaryota; Metazoa; Chordata; Mammalia; Rodentia; Chinchillidae
Description: lncRNA (ENSCLAG00000028928.1)
Source: RNAcentral